This is a long non-coding RNA of Gossypium arboreum, 556 nucleotides long. RefSeq lists it as uncharacterized. The record is from RefSeq and is a predicted model, not a curated record. NCBI's taxonomy places the organism in Eukaryota, Viridiplantae, Streptophyta, Magnoliopsida, Malvales, Malvaceae. The transcript has 2 exons.
UAUUCCAAUGGGCUAGAGCGCGGAUCCUUAAAAGCAUGGAACAGCACCAUUUUUUGCACAAUGAAUUUAAAACCCUUUUUUCAUCCUUUUUUCCCAAAUGCUGCCAAUCUUCCAAACAAAGAACCACAGCCCCAAAAUUAAAAUUGCUAGGGUUCUUUACAUCUGCCAGAUUCACCAUUUUGUUUGGCAAUCGACAGUAUAUAAAUAGAUCCAUGCCACGUCCAUGAAAAUGUCGUACGGAGAAGAUGACCUGGGGAUCUCACGUAAGAAGCCGUUCCUCUGGUGCCCUUCCAGUGCAUUCCAAGAGCUUUCUUGACUGCUGGAAUUUUUCCUUUUUGGGCUCUUUCGGGUUUGGGCUAGAUUUAGGAUAUGGGUUAAUUAGAAUUGGGUUUUAGGACUUAUUGGGUUAUAGGUUAUUUUGGUAAUUGGAUUGGGUGUUUUUUUAGUAUUGUAAAUGGACUUUUUGGACUAUUUAGUCUUGGACUUUAUUCAUUUAUUUCGGUUUAUUUAUUUGCAAAUAAAUUAAAUGGGCCCAGGCAAAAUUGGUUGACUACAA